Molecule: long non-coding RNA, 627 nt
Filed under: Lotus japonicus
Lineage: Eukaryota; Viridiplantae; Streptophyta; Magnoliopsida; Fabales; Fabaceae
Description: long non-coding RNA (LJAP_LNC001409)
Source: RNAcentral
AACACAAACAAAGCAAACAAGGCAGAAAGGGUCAACUUCCUAGAGUAAUGUAAUAUAAGUCCUAGCUUGAUUUAGCAUAGUUAAGUAGCGUGUGAAUAAUAGUUAGACACAACAUAAGUCAAUCUCUAUCCUUUGAACGUCAAGUCAUCAAUCCAUCACUCGCCGUCUACGCAUAGAUGUAUCUUCAUUUCUUUGCCAGGGCAGCAUCACGUCUCACUAAUGGAAACGCACGACUCAGCGGUCAAUCAUCUAGCACGAUGAGCUCUAUACUCUCUAAUCAACAAACAGAUAACAGGAUCAAGGACUAGCCCCUUAAUCGAUCCAAGUAAUAGGAGUUAAGGUCUAACCUCUUAAGCAAAUAACAAUUAGUAUGACUAAGGUCAAUCCUCUAAAUCAACUAACACAUAAUAGGAUUAAGGUCCAGCCACUUUAAUCCAAGGACAAAUAAUAUGAUUAAGGUCCAACCACUUUAAUCAAAUAGCAAAAAUAGGAUUAAGGUCCAGCCACUUUAAUCCACAAGCAAAUAAUAGGAUUAAGGUCCAUCCUCUUUAAUCCAUAAGCAAAUAAUAGGAUUAAGGUUCAUCCUCUUUAAUCCAAUAACGAAUAAUAUGAUUAAGGUCAUACCCC